UCAAAUGAUCACCUCAUCAAGAUGAUGUGCAGAACCCAUGAGUCAGUCAUGCCGGCUCAAGGUCAAGGUCACAACUUACGGUCAAAGGUUUGAGCCUUCCAUUUUGUGUCCGCUCUAUAUCUCCUAAACCCCUUGAAGGAUUUUCAUCAAACUUGGGUCAAAUGAUCACCUCAUCAAGGCGAUGUGCAGAACUCAUGAGUCAGCCAUGUCGGCUCAAGGUCAAGGUCACAACUGAAAGUCAAAGGUUUGAGCCUUCCAUUUCGUGUCCACUCUAUAUCUCCUAAACCCCUUGAAGGAAUUUUAUAAAACUUGGGUCAAAUGAUUACCUCAUCAGAACGAUGUGCAGAAAUUAUGAGUCAACCAUGCCAGCUCAAGGUCAAGGUCACAACUAAGGGUCGAAGGUUUGAGCCUUCCAUUUGGUGUCCACUCUGUAUCUCCUUAACCCCUUGAAGGAUUUUCAUCAAACUUGGGUCAUAUGAUCACCUCAUCAAGAACUCAUGAGUCAGCCAUGUCAACUCAAGGUCAAGGUCACAACUGAAGGUCAAAGGUUUCAGCUCUAUAUCUCCUAAACCCCUUGAAGGAUUUUCAUGAAACUUUGGUCAAAUGAUCACCUCAUCAAGACGUUGUGCAGAAUUCAUGAGUCAGCCAUGUCAGUUCAAGGUCAAGGUCACAGCUAAAAUCAAAGUUUUACCCUUUCACUAUCCAUAGCAGUGGCGGGGGAUUUAGCUGUCUUUCAGACUGCCUUGUAAUUCUGAGAAUUCAGUAAUUAUAGGGAAGUAAUUUUUGUGAUUGAGUUAAUUAAUCUACAAAAUUUAAUCCCACUGUGUUCAAAAGUUAAAAUCCAUGAAUUUAUAUCCCAGGAUACUCUUGCUACUUCAUCAAAAACCAUGAAAGUUUAUGCCCAUGAAAUUAAAAUGUUUCACUAAAGGUGUAGUAUGCAUUUACACUUUAUGGCAGAAAAUGCCAGAAGUCAAUACUUGACCUUUACCCUGGUACUGAACUGCCAGCACCACUUACUAUUCACAGGGGUGUUCACUGAAAAUUUACUAACUGAAUAGCGUACAGUGCAGACCAUGACCAGCUUGCAUGGAUCUCGGUCUGCACUGGUUGCAAAGGCAAAAUCACUUGCCACCAUCAGACUGAAGGUUAAAACAUUAUGCUUACGAAUACACAAUUUAUAAUUCAACUAUUCCAAAAUAUAGACCGCAAAUUGAAAAUUCUACAUUUGCACAAAAUUUCAGUAAACUAAGUAAAUCUAAGAAGAUGAGAUGGUGAAAAGAAAAAAAAGAUUUUGUUGAGCCAUUGAACUCACCCAUGUGUCGGCGUCCGCGUCCGCGUCCCGAUUUGGUGAAGGUUUUGUAUGUAAGCUGGUAUCUCAGUAACCACUUGUGGGAAUGGAUUGAAACUUCACACACUUAUUCACUGUGAUAAACUGACCUACACUGCACAGGUUCCACAAUGCUGUUUUGCUUUUUGACAAAAUUAUGCCCCCUUUUCGACUUAGAAAUUCUUGGUUAAGGUUUUGUAUGUAAGCUGGUAUCUCAGUAACCACUUGUGGGAAUGGAUUGAAACUUCACACACUUGUUCACUGUGAUAAACUGACCUACAUUACACAGGUUCCAUAACUCUAUUUUGCUUUUUUACAAAAUUAUGCCCCUUUUUCGACUUAGAAAUUCUUGGUUAAGUUUUUGUAUGUAAGCUGGUAUUUCAGUAUCCACUUAUGGGAAAGGAUUGAAACUUCACGCACUUGUUCACUUUAUGAGCUGAUAAGCACUAUGAAGGUUCCAUAACCCUUUCUCUCAUUUUUACAAAAUUAUGCCCCUUUUUCGACUUUUGUAUUCAUUCAAUUGACAAGGCUGUUGAAUAGUCGAGCGUUGCUGUCCUCCGACAGCUCUUGUUCUA
Long non-coding RNA from Mercenaria mercenaria, 1902 nucleotides. RefSeq lists it as uncharacterized. The transcript is spliced from 2 exons. NCBI's taxonomy places the organism in Eukaryota, Metazoa, Mollusca, Bivalvia, Venerida, Veneridae. The record is from RefSeq and is a predicted model, not a curated record.